Long non-coding RNA from Erpetoichthys calabaricus (reedfish), 342 nucleotides. RefSeq lists it as uncharacterized. Lineage: Eukaryota; Metazoa; Chordata; Cladistia; Polypteriformes; Polypteridae. The transcript has 3 exons. The record is from RefSeq and is a predicted model, not a curated record.
UUUUUAAUAUUUUUUCAUUGCCUAGAUCACAUUGAAAAAGAUGAUAGAAAUCCAUUUGUUAUGCCUUUGGAUCAUAAAAUUAUGCUGUGCAGAGAACAAGAAAAAAAGCAAGAACAUAAAGAAAGGACAUUUUAUAAAAGAGUACCGGCUGAGAUCAAAAGCACAUUCUUAUCAAGAAUACGAGCUCAUUCUGGAUCGUAUAGGAGGCCUUUGGAGGCUGAAAAGAACACGUGUGAAGGUGAAAGAGCCCAAUAUCAGCUAAUGAACGCUAAAAGUUGUCAACGUAAGAACAUGAACAUACGAGAGUACUUGCACUGUCAGCGGGAGUCUUACCACCUUAGG